ACCAUAUUUGUGUAUUUUUCUGUUAUUUGUUUUUAUUUGGCAUCAAUUAUAUUAAUUAUCGAAAGUUGGCAUGGAACCUCUCAGACCAGUGAAUCUU
Molecule: long non-coding RNA, 97 nt
Organism: Etheostoma cragini (Arkansas darter)
Lineage: Eukaryota; Metazoa; Chordata; Actinopteri; Perciformes; Percidae
Exons: 3
Source: RefSeq, a predicted model, not a curated record